AAAAGAAAAACCAAACUAGAGGUAAAUUUUUGUUAAAAAUUUUAUUGGAUCUCCCCUUCUUUUG
RNAcentral lists this transfer RNA (64 nucleotides) under Bragasellus molinai. Its description in RNAcentral is "transfert RNA-N(AAC)". Lineage: Eukaryota; Metazoa; Arthropoda; Malacostraca; Isopoda; Asellidae. The record is from RNAcentral.